AACCCAUCCUGAAGCAGUCACCACGAUCUGUACCAUGCAUACGCCAUAAGAUCUGAGAUGCACCGGGGAGGAAGCCAGCUGGCAUCUUCCCCUCCCCUCUGCUUUCUCUCUGCCGCCAUUCUGGGGCUCAUGCUGGACUCACUGCUUUCUGGGCUCACCCUGGACCUGCACUGUUCCUGGUAACGAAUGCAGCCUGUUCCAACCAAGCUCCGGGAAUGCUGCCUUGAGACAUUACGGUGAAAGCACAGAUGGAUCCAAGCUGCAAAAUUUGGAUCUGAAUUUCCCCAGCAUUCAGGAGCAUGGCGGUCUUGUAGUUUUGAUAAAAGCCCAUCCCGCCAAUGUCUGUUGCUGUGCUACUGUGAAGGAUGCUACAGGCGGGAGCGACUGGGACUUCCUCUUCAGCCCCACUCAGGGGAGUGAUGCUGCAGCAAAUCAAGCCCAGGCUGCUGCUCCCAUGCCAGUCACUGCCCACGCAUGUCAGAGAGAGAGAGAUCAAGCCAGGCCUUCUGUCUUCAAAAGGAGACGGAGAAAGCGCAUUGAGAGCCCAGAUCCAGCAGGUGCUGAGCACUCAAUAUUUUGCAGGAUCAGGCCCUAGCUUCACAGCCAACGAUUAGAGGUUAGACAGAAGGGGUCAUAACUCAAGCGACCUCUUUGGACAAUCAUUUGGGCUUUAGGAAUUGACUCCUGGCCUUUGUGCUGUGCAGCAAGUCAUCUCCCCUUGUCUGUGCAUUCUAGCUCCUCCUCAGAUGGUACCUUCCUUGUUCAUAUUGCUGAGUUUAAGAUGAUGGAAUUGGCCACUUGCCCAGGCUGGGAAUGGGGGGAGGAGGGAAGCAGUUAGCAUAAUGGAAUGGCUUUCUGAAUAAAGUGAAAAUCCCAUGCAGAUAGCACAUGGCGUGUAUAAUGACUCAUGGUCCAUAUUUUCACCAGGGGAAAAAUUUAAAACCUGCGUUCAAACUUAAAAGAUGGAAAUUGUUAUAAAGACUUCCAUGGUGAUAGGUUACCAUCUGU
This is a long non-coding RNA of Pelodiscus sinensis (Chinese soft-shelled turtle), 1008 nucleotides long. RefSeq lists it as uncharacterized. Lineage: Eukaryota; Metazoa; Chordata; Testudines; Trionychidae. The record is from RefSeq and is a predicted model, not a curated record.